RNAcentral lists this ribosomal RNA (510 nucleotides) under uncultured bacterium. RNAcentral describes it as "bacterial SSU rRNA". It matches the Rfam family "Bacterial small subunit ribosomal RNA", at positions 8 to 507 of the family's 1533-position model. The record is from RNAcentral.
AGAGUUUGAUCAUGGCUCAGAGUGAACGCUGGCGGCAGGCCUAAUACAUGCAAGUCGAACGGCAGCACAGCAGAGCUUGCUCUGUGGGUGGCGAGUGGCGGACGGGUGAGGAAUACAUGGGAAUCUGCCCAGUCGUGGGGGAUAACGUAGGGAAACUUACGCUAAUACCGCAUGCGCCCUUCGGGGGAAAGCCGGGGACCUUCGGGCCUGGCGCGAUUGGAUGAGCCCAUGUCGGAUUAGCUAGUUGGCGGGGUAAUGGCCCACCAAGGCGACGAUCCGUAGCUGGUCUGAGAGGAUGAUCAGCCACACUGGAACUGAGACACGGUCCAGACUCCUACGGGAGGCAGCAGUAGGGAAUAUUGGACAAUGGGCGCAAGCCUGAUCCAACCAUGCCGCGUGAGUGAAGAAGGCCCUCGGGUUGUAAAGCUCUUUUGUCCGGAAAGAAAAGCGCCGGGUUAAUACCCUGGUGUCCUGACGGUACCGGAAGAAUAAGCACCGGCUAACUUCGUG